UACAGAGGGUGCGAGCGUUGUUCGGAAUUAUUGGGCGUAAAGGGCGCGUAGGCGGUGCGGUAAGUCACCUGUGAAAUCUCCUGGCUCAACUGGGAGCUUGCAGGCGAAACUGCCGUGCUGGAGUGUGGGAGAGGUGCGUGGAAUUCCUGGUGUAGCGGUGAAAUGCGUAGAUAUCAGGAGGAACACCUGUGGCGAAAGCGGCGCACUGGACCACAACUGACACUGAGGAGCGAAAGCCAGGGGAGCAAACGGG
RNAcentral lists this ribosomal RNA (253 nucleotides) under uncultured bacterium. Its description in RNAcentral is "partial 16S ribosomal RNA". It matches the Rfam family "Bacterial small subunit ribosomal RNA", at positions 524 to 776 of the family's 1533-position model. The record is from RNAcentral.